This is a long non-coding RNA of Haliotis rubra (blacklip abalone), 158 nucleotides long. RefSeq lists it as uncharacterized. The record is from RefSeq and is a predicted model, not a curated record. Lineage: Eukaryota; Metazoa; Mollusca; Gastropoda; Lepetellida; Haliotidae. The transcript has 2 exons.
GUACCAUCAAUCCCUAUGUUGGUUAGCUAGUUUCUACCAUGUUGUACUGGGGGACCCUAUUGCCUUCGAUUAACAGGGAUAGUGUUAUCAUUCAAACACAUGCAAGGCAAGUUUCUGCCAUGUUGUACUGGGGGACCCUAUUGCCCUCGAUUCACAGG